GACGAACGCUGGCGGCGUGCUUAACACAUGCAAGUCGAACGGAAAGGCCCUGCUUUUGUGGGGUGCUCGAGUGGCGAACGGGUGAGUAACACGUGAGUAACCUGCCCUUGACUUUGGGAUAACUUCAGGAAACUGGGGCUAAUACCGGAUAGGAGCUCCUGCUGCAUGGUGGGGGUUGGAAAGUUUCGGCGGUUGGGGAUGGACUCGCGGCUUAUCAGCUUGUUGGUGGGGUAGUGGCUUACCAAGGCUUUGACGGGUAGCCGGCCUGAGAGGGUGACCGGCCACAUUGGGACUGAGAUACGGCCCAGACUCCUACGGGAGGCAGAAGUGGGGAAUAUUGCACAAUGGGCGGAAGCCUGAUGCAGCAACGCCGCGUGCGGGAUGACGGCCUUCGGGUUGUAAACCGCUUUCGCCUGUGACGAAGCGUGAGUGACGGUAAUGGGUAAAGAAGCACCGGCUUACUACGUG
Molecule: ribosomal RNA, 468 nt
Filed under: uncultured bacterium
Lineage: Bacteria
Description: partial 16S ribosomal RNA
Rfam family: Bacterial small subunit ribosomal RNA
Source: RNAcentral